CAGGGAAUCUUGCGCAAUGGGCGAAAGCCUGACGCAGCGACACCGCGUGGGGGAAGACGGCCUUCGGGUUGUAAACCCCUUUUCCCGGGGAAGAGUAAGGACGGUACCCGGGGAAUAAGGUUCGGCUAACUACGUGCCAGCAGCCGCGGUAAUACGUAGGAACCGAGCGUUGUCCGGAUUUACUGGGCGUAAAGUGCGCGUAGGCGGUUUGUUAAGUCUCAUGUGAAAUCUCCCGGCUCAACUGGGAGGGGUCAUGGGAAACUGGCAGACUCGAGGGCAGUAGAGGAGAGUGGAAUUCCCGGAGUAGUGGUGAAAUGCGUAGAUACCGGGAGGAACACCAGAGGCGAAGGCGACUCUCUGGGCUGUACCUGACGCUGAGGCGCGAAAGCGUGGGGAGCAAACCGG
This 405-nucleotide ribosomal RNA is filed under the name uncultured bacterium. RNAcentral describes it as "bacterial SSU rRNA". It matches the Rfam family "Bacterial small subunit ribosomal RNA", at positions 355 to 776 of the family's 1533-position model. The record is from RNAcentral.